This 1855-nucleotide long non-coding RNA is filed under the name Sus scrofa (pig). RNAcentral's name for it is "lncRNA (ENSSSCG00030014986.1)". Lineage: Eukaryota; Metazoa; Chordata; Mammalia; Artiodactyla; Suidae. The record is from RNAcentral.
AGGGACCGAACCCGCAACCUCAUGGUUCCUAGUCGGAUUCGUUAACCACUGCGCCACGACGGGAACUCCUGGCCUGGGAAUUUCUACAUGCCAUGGAUAUGGCCAAAGAAUAGGAUAGGAUAGGAUAGGAUAGGGGAAAAGAACAAGCUUUAAAAGGACAGACAUUAAAUUAAAAACACAACAUAUAUUUAAAUGAAAAAAUAUCACAAAAUGACCAACAUUCCCAAAUUUACAUUCAGCGUGUUCUUAGUGGAAAAAUGUAUUUUCUCAUAUGAUCAUGAUAGCCACGAAUGUUGCACAUCUGCAAAAGGUCAGCAUUGAAAAUGCCAGGGAUGAACUUAUGUCAGGGAGUAAUUAACUUAGAGGAAAAAAAUCAAGGUUUGUUUCUUUGGGCACUAAGAGUAUGCAGGUUUAAAAAAACAAAAGUUUGCAAUGUCAUGAUCUUGGGAUUUUGUUUGUCUGUUUACAGUCCAGAGAGUAAAGCUUUCUUUACUGGAGUGAGAAGCGUGGGGUGCAGGUUAUUACCCACAGGGGUGGCAUGGCAAGGUGUCCUUGGCUUCCACAUAACUUUGGGGAAGGUUCCUUUUUCCAAUAUUUGUUCAUUUAAACCAUUUGUCUAAAAGACCUUUUUUUUACUUAUGUUUUUCUUUCAAAGUCAAUAUACUUUCAUUUUUACAGAAGUUAAUUAGACCGAGUAGCCUCUAGUGGGAGACCGAUGGCACACACACCCACACCCAAAGGGCAGUGUGCAGGGAAAAGGGAAACCAAUGGGGCCUGGGAAGAACCCCCGGGCCUAAAGGGAUCAGAAGAGGGAAGUGUGCCAGGGGCUGCCUAGGGAGCUAUGGCUUUUAUGAAAGGACGCAGCCAGUCUGAAGUAACCUACAGGGAGAAUCAAUACCAGACCCACAAAAGCAAGCAGAAGCCUGAGGGAAGAGGGCUGGAUUUGUCAGGAGCGAGGUGGAGUGUGGAUCUAGAGGGCAAAUGGAGAAAAUAUGAACAGGGUCAGCUGUUCCUGCCUCUCCUUGAAAAGUGUGCUUAUUCCUAGCACAGAGCACUUUGUCCCUAUGUUAAUAAUGAUAAACCAUUACGUGUAUAGUCCUUAAAGCUGGAGAUUGCAACAUGGUGUUGCAACUCUAUCAGGAGCAUGAACAGGUAUGUAAGCUCCUGAGAAAGACUUGACUUCUACAGAGGUACAGAGCAGGGAAGAGGUCAGGCCAGCCUUCGGCUCCAGAUCUGCUCUUCCCACCCAGAUACAAACACCUGUGGGUUUUCUGCAUUGUCUUCAAUGAGAAAAGUAAAUUUUUUUUUCAUAUACUUACAAUUUAAAAUAAGCAAAUGAGGAAGGCAAGGGUGGUUAAAAAAAUAUUUGGUUAAGGUUAACCAAACAAUAACCAAUGAAUUCCUGAUUCAUUCCCUAAACAAUUGCUUUCCUAGAAAAUUGCCUCGUCAAGGGCUGAUUCAGAGAGGUCCUGCCUGAAUUUGACUCGAACUGCAGGGAGGCUCCCCAUUUAGAUCGCUUUCCUUUCAUUCAGAAAAUGCCUAGUCACCAAAAUGCUGCAGUGAUUUUUUUUUUUUUUCCUCCCUCAUCUAGGGCACAUGGAAGUUCCCAGGCCAGAAAUCAAACCUGGGCCUCCAUAGUUGAAUCCCCAACCCACUGUGCCAUAGCAGGAACUCCAAUUUUUGUUGUUUUUAUUUUAUUUAAAAAAUUUUUUUGGCCAGGCCCGCAGCAUGUGGAAGUUCCCAGGCUAGGGAUCAAACCCACCCCAGAGCUAUAACCAGAGCCACAGAAGUGACAAUGCCGUAUCCGUAAGCCUCGGAGCCAGGAGGGAUCUCCAAUUUUUUUUUUUUUUUUUUU